This 217-nucleotide ribosomal RNA is filed under the name uncultured microorganism. RNAcentral describes it as "partial 16S ribosomal RNA". It matches the Rfam family "Bacterial small subunit ribosomal RNA", at positions 9 to 202 of the family's 1533-position model. The record is from RNAcentral.
GAGUUUGAUCUUGGCUCAGGACGAACGCUAGCGGCGCACCUAACGAAUGCGAGUCGAGCGAGGUGCAUUCAUCCGAGCACCUUCGGGUGCUCACCGGAUGCACCUAGCGGCAAAACGGGUGAGUAACACGUGGGGCAACCCUGCCCCCAGGUGGGGGAUAGCCGGGGGAACCCCGGGUAAUCCCGCAUAAACUGGCCCGCCGCAUGGCGAGGUCAGC